GCCUAAUACAUGCAAGUCGAGCGGACCGACGGGAGCUUGCUCCCUUAGGUCAGCGGCGGACGGGUGAGUAACACGUGGGUAACCUGCCUGUAAGACUGGGAUAACUCCGGGAAACCGGGGCUAAUACCGGAUGCUUGAUUGAACCGCAUGGUUCAAUCAUAAAAGGUGGCUUUUAGCUACCACUUGCAGAUGGACCCGCGGCGCAUUAGCUAGUUGGUGAGGUAACGGCUCACCAAGGCGACGAUGCGUAGCCGACCUGAGAGGGUGAUCGGCCACACUGGGACUGAGACACGGCCCAGACUCCUACGGGAGGCAGCAGUAGGGAAUCUUCCGCAAUGGACGAAAGUCUGACGGAGCAACGCCGCGUGAGUGAUGAAGGUUUUCGGAUCGUAAAACUCUGUUGUUAGGGAAGAACAAGUACCGUUCGAAUAGGGCGGUACCUUGACGGUACCUAACCAGAAAGCCACGGCUAACUACGUGCCAGCAGCCGCGGUAAUACGUAGGUGGCAAGCGUUGUCCGGAAUUAUUGGGCGUAAAGCGCGCGCAGGCGGUUUCUUAAGUCUGAUGUGAAAGCCCCCGGCUCAACCGGGGAGGGUCAUUGGAAACUGGGGAACUUGAGUGCAGAAGAGGAGAGUGGAAUUCCACGUGUAGCGGUGAAAUGCGUAGAGAUGUGGAGGAACACCAGUGGCGAAGGCGACUCUCUGGUCUGUAACUGACGCUGAGGCGCGAA
This 730-nucleotide ribosomal RNA is filed under the name uncultured Bacilli bacterium. RNAcentral describes it as "bacterial SSU rRNA". It matches the Rfam family "Bacterial small subunit ribosomal RNA", at positions 46 to 757 of the family's 1533-position model. The record is from RNAcentral. Lineage: Bacteria; Bacillati; Bacillota; Bacilli.